UGGCGAACUGGUGAGUAACACGUGGGUGAUCUGCCCUGCACUUCGGGAUAAGCCUGGGAAACUGGGUCUAAUACCGGAUAGGACGAUGGUUUGGAUGCCAUUGUGGAAAGUUUUCGGUGUGGGAUGAGCUCGCGGCCUAUCAGCUUGUUGGUGGGGUAAUGGCCUACCAAGGCGUCGACGGGUAGCCGGCCUGAGAGGGUGUACGGCCACAUUGGGACUGAGAUACGGCCCAG
RNAcentral lists this ribosomal RNA (233 nucleotides) under uncultured Actinomycetales bacterium. Its description in RNAcentral is "partial 16S ribosomal RNA". It matches the Rfam family "Bacterial small subunit ribosomal RNA", at positions 96 to 334 of the family's 1533-position model. The record is from RNAcentral. Lineage: Bacteria; Bacillati; Actinomycetota; Actinomycetes; Actinomycetales.